RNAcentral lists this ribosomal RNA (165 nucleotides) under Veronica decora. RNAcentral describes it as "5.8S ribosomal RNA". It matches the Rfam family "5.8S ribosomal RNA". Rfam says of the family: 5.8S ribosomal RNA (5.8S rRNA) is a component of the large subunit of the eukaryotic ribosome. Lineage: Eukaryota; Viridiplantae; Streptophyta; Magnoliopsida; Lamiales; Plantaginaceae. The record is from RNAcentral.
UKAACGACUCUCGGCAACGGAUAUCUCGGCUCUCGCAUCGAUGAAGAACGUAGCGAAAUGCGAUACUUGGUGUGAAUUGCAGAAUCUCGUGAACCAUCGAGUCUUUGAACGCAAGUUGCGCCCGAAGCCUUCUGGCUGAGGGCACGCCUGCCUGGGCGUCACGCA